RNAcentral lists this long non-coding RNA (326 nucleotides) under Mytilus galloprovincialis (Mediterranean mussel). Lineage: Eukaryota; Metazoa; Mollusca; Bivalvia; Mytilida; Mytilidae. The record is from RNAcentral.
CCAUGUCAUUUCACAUAAACUCAGGACCAUCGGAAAUGUCUUGUUCUAAACAAAAAUCAAAUGGAAAAUUUUGGAAAGGGGUAGGGGUUCUGAUGUACCAGCAGGGCAUCCAAGCAAAGUUCCCAAAUCCUGGUUUAUGGUUAUAAACUUCAUGAUAAUGCCAAUUUUUCACAGGUACAAUAUGCUAAUGCAAGGCAAUUCAAGGGAGUUUUUGGAAAGUUCAAUUCAAUUUAGACCCACCAGUGAUAAGGUAUUAAGAGAAAACUAUUCAAAGACUUAGUUUUUAAAUAUAAAACCUACCCCCACAUAUAGUAACUGUUUUUUUC